AAGUUGGAAAAACCGAAUUCUGUUAUUUUUCACCAAAUGUCAGAGGCUAUAACUCUUUGGUCGAUCACGAGUUUUGUUGUUUAAAAGUUGUUAUAGGUAUCCUGAUAUGUGGUAUUUAAUUUCCAAAAGGAAUAAAGUUCAUAUAUAUUGUAGAUCGGUAUUUAUAAGCGGUCAAAGUGGGUUGACCGGCAUUGACCGGCUGUUCUUCAAACCCAGAAAAUAUUCUAAGUGUCCAGAAAAUAUUUUUUUGGAAAAUGUCAG
Molecule: long non-coding RNA, 261 nt
Filed under: Panax ginseng (ginseng)
Lineage: Eukaryota; Viridiplantae; Streptophyta; Magnoliopsida; Apiales; Araliaceae
Description: long non-coding RNA (PGIN_LNC011198)
Source: RNAcentral